GUCAGCGGUCAAAGCGAACAGGUUACACCCGUUCCCAUUUCGAACACGGAAGUUAAGUUGUUCUACGUUUUUGUCGGUACUGCACAAGUGUGGGAAAGCAAGAAAGCUGCUGACA
Molecule: ribosomal RNA, 115 nt
Filed under: Candidatus Woesearchaeota archaeon
Lineage: Archaea; Nanobdellati; Candidatus Woesearchaeota
Source: RNAcentral